This 497-nucleotide ribosomal RNA is filed under the name uncultured bacterium. RNAcentral's name for it is "partial 16S ribosomal RNA". It matches the Rfam family "Bacterial small subunit ribosomal RNA", at positions 28 to 507 of the family's 1533-position model. The record is from RNAcentral.
GAUGAACGCUGGCGGCGUGCCUAAUACAUGCAAGUCGAGCGAACAGACGAGGAGCUUGCUCCUCUGACGUUAGCGGCGGACGGGUGAGUAACACGUGGAUAACCUACCUAUAAGACUGGGAUAACUUCGGGAAACCGGAGCUAAUACCGGAUAAUAUAUUGAACCGCAUGGUUCAAUAGUGAAAGACGGUUUUGCUGUCACUUAUAGAUGGAUCCGCGCCGCAUUAGCUAGUUGGUAAGGUAACGGCUUACCAAGGCAACGAUGCGUAGCCGACCUGAGAGGGUGAUCGCACACACUGGAACUGAGACACGGUCCAGACUCCUACGGGAGGCAGCAGUAGGGAAUCUUCCGCAAUGGGCGAAAGCUUGACGGAGCAACGCCGCGUGAGUGAUGAAGGUCUUCGGAUCGUAAAACUCUGUUAUUAGGGAAGAACAAAUGUGUAAGUAACUAUGCACGUCUUGACGGUACCUAAUCAGAAAGCCACGGCUAACUACGUG